CAAAAAUCAUUAUUUGCANUAAUGAUUUUUCUGUAGGUGAACCUCGCGGAAAAUCAUUAUUUCAUUAAUGAUUUUUCCGCAGGUUCACCUACAGAAAAAUCAUUAUUGCAUUAAUGAUUUUUCUGUAGGUGAACCUGCGGAAAAAUCAUUAUUUCAUUAAUGAUUUUUCCGCAGGUUCACCUACAGAAAAAUCAUUAUUUCAAUAAUGAUUUUUCUGUAGGUGAACCUGCGGAAAAAUCAUUAAUUCAUUAAUGAUUUUUCCGCAGGUUCACCUACAGAAAAAUCAUUAUUUCAUUAAUGAUUUUUCUGUAGGUGAACCUGCGGAAAAAUCAUUAUUUAAAUAAUGAUUUUUCCGCAGGUUCACCUACAGAAAAAUCAUUAUUUCAAUAAUGAUUUUUCCGCAGGUUGAACCUGCGGAAAAAUCAUUAUUUCAAUAAUGAUUUUUCCGCAGGUUCACCUACAGAAAAAUCAUUAUUUCAAUAAUGAUUUUUCUGNAGGUGAACCUGCGGAAAAAUCAUUAUUUCAAUAAUGAUUUUUCCGCAGGUUCACCUACAGAAAAAUCAUUAAUUCAUUAAUG
RNAcentral lists this unclassified non-coding RNA (577 nucleotides) under Rhizoctonia solani. RNAcentral's name for it is "sequence contains ITS1, 5.8S rRNA gene and ITS2". The record is from RNAcentral. Lineage: Eukaryota; Fungi; Basidiomycota; Agaricomycetes; Cantharellales; Ceratobasidiaceae.